UGUAAAGAUAUUGGUUUCAUUUUGUGUUAGAUAAACCAACCUACUCACAAUGUCACAUAUGUUUUGAAAAACAAAGAUACAGCUAUUAAAAACAACUUAUAUAACAAAUAACUCAACUGAUUUUUGAGACAUGAAGCCCUGCUCUUGAAGGUUUUUAAAACCCCUUUUUCUUGGGUUGUCCAUGGGUUGACACUGGACCAUGGUGCACCACGUAUCCUGCAGCAUUUUCUCUAUCCAAACUCAAAGCUCCAGAUCACUCAGGCAGCAAAUCAUAAAAAUUUCUGCAGCAGAGCAGGCACAUCUCACCCUGGGUUAUUCCAGCAUGUGUGACACCCAACAACAAAGAGAGGAGCUGCUUUUCUGACCUUGUAACCCCCUGGCUGCAUUCCCUGAAAUGUUCUGUCUUCUGCCAACCAUGCCCUGAACCAAGGGCUUCCCCACCCCCAAGAGAAAUGCUUUUAACUUCCCUUGGAAAAGGAGCAGAGCAGAAUCUGGGACAGCAUCAGAGCUUGGCAUCAGAGUGAGUGCCACAGCAAGGGGCAGUGACCCCAGGGCUGGUGCCUGCUGUAAUUAAAGAGGGGACAAAUAAAGCCACGGGGAGUGAUGAGAUUGUUCCUCAUUGUCAGAAGCCAACAAAGUCAAAACAGACCCAGAAAAGUUUCAUUAGUCCAGUUUUUAUUCAAAUUAAAUGAUGGGGAACUACAGUGUGAUUUUCUUUCAUAAUAUAAAUAUGUCAGUGAAGAAUGUUUCUUGAGUUGUUCGUCGCACUGGACAAGACAGCUGUCAAGAGAGUUACUUUGCAAAGUCCUUUGUCCUCCACACUCAUGCAAAAAAAAAUCUUUAAUUUAAAAAAUGAGCUUAAACAGUCAACCAACUUGUUAAGAGUAUACUGUCACCUACUGAACUAAAGUACUCUGGUUUACAAAACCAAAAAUUUUCACACCCAGGUAAAUUAUUUCACAAUCAUUCAUUACCCUUGAGGGUCUUCAUACAUAAAAUAUACAAAUAAAAAUUAUCAAUAUUUAUUUAUUUAUUUAUUCAUUGUCACUGUAGAAGAAAAUAAUUUAUAAACCCAUAAACAAAGAUAAGGGCAGAUGGAAAAAAGUGAAUGAGCCCAUAUUCAGACCAUAAUGUGUAGCGCACUCCCAAACACUGCAGCUUUGAGCAACAAUGCUCACAUGAAAGUGAUUUUUGGGCAUGAUGUGGGCAAAGGGGGCAACUGCUUUGAUAAUAUAUGAAUAAUGAAUCCCAAAGGUUGGGACCAAGCUGUAUUCAUCUGUUGAGCCAUGACAGUAGCUUGAUGAACAGCAUUUAUCUGUUGAGCCAUCACACUGGCUGAGGAACAGGCACCACACCUCACUCAAAUAUUAAGGAUUUUGGUCUCCAAACAAUGUGAACCAAAGAAGAGCUUUCAUGGUGGUGACAUGCAAACACUGCCAAGUGUAUUUAUGGUAAUUACUUGUUGUACCCAUCCAUAAAAAGACACUGUUUGGAUAAACUGAAUGAACUGGAAAUUGAUUUUAAACACCCCCAAUUUAUCUAUUAGGCACCAAUGGAAAAGAUGGACUUCAUUCAGGCUUAUUUAAACAACAGCUUGCUUGAGACAAAGCUGCCCUGCACUGCGAGCCCAGCAGGGUGUGCACCACACACGAUGCUCCUGGGGCUGGGGCUCAUCCUGGGGGGCUUUUCUGCACGAGCAAAGCCACUUUAGGAAACCCAGAGCCAGAGUCCCAAAG
This is a long non-coding RNA of Passer domesticus (house sparrow), 1736 nucleotides long. RefSeq lists it as uncharacterized. The record is from RefSeq and is a predicted model, not a curated record. Lineage: Eukaryota; Metazoa; Chordata; Aves; Passeriformes; Passeridae. The transcript is spliced from 3 exons.